This 252-nucleotide ribosomal RNA is filed under the name Triticum aestivum (bread wheat). RNAcentral describes it as "partial small subunit ribosomal RNA". The record is from RNAcentral. Lineage: Eukaryota; Viridiplantae; Streptophyta; Magnoliopsida; Poales; Poaceae.
AUGGAGGCGAUGAUGAAGGAAUUAGGUCUGAAGGAGGAUGACCUAGAAGAUGUGGUGAUCGAGGAGGAUGACCUACCAGAGGAUGCCACCAGGUGGAUGGCGCUGGCCCGUGUCCACACAGAUAAGCUCUAUAGCCAAUAUUGGUUCUUCCGUAACAUGCGCGUGGCGUGGGAUCUUGCACAAGAGGUGAAAUUUCGUCCACUAGAAGAGAAUCUCUACACCCUCCAAUUCUCGUGCCUCGGCGACUGGGAA